AACGAACGCUGGCGGCAUGCCUAACACAUGCAAGUCGAACGAUUGCCUUCGGGUGAUAGUGGCGCACGGGUGCGUAACGCGUGGGAAUCUGCCCUUAGGUUCGGAAUAACAGCUGGAAACGGCUGCUAAUACCGGAUGAUAUCGCGAGAUCAAAGAUUUAUCGCCUGAGGAUGAGCCCGCGUUGGAUUAGGUAGUUGGUGGGGUAAAGGCCUACCAAGCCGACGAUCCAUAGCUGGUCUGAGAGGAUGAUCAGCCACACUGGGACUGAGACACGGCCCAGACUCCUACGGGAGGCAGCAGUGGGGAAUAUUGGACAAGGGGCGCAAGCCUGAUCCAGCAAUGCCGCGUGAGUGAUGAAGGCCCUAGGGUUGUAAAGCUCUUUUACCCGGGAAGAUAAUGACUGUACCGGGAGAAUAAGCCCCGGCGAACUCCG
Molecule: ribosomal RNA, 433 nt
Filed under: uncultured bacterium
Lineage: Bacteria
Description: partial 16S ribosomal RNA
Rfam family: Bacterial small subunit ribosomal RNA
Source: RNAcentral